RNAcentral lists this long non-coding RNA (6944 nucleotides) under Coffea arabica (coffee). Its description in RNAcentral is "long non-coding RNA (CARA_LNC001501)". Lineage: Eukaryota; Viridiplantae; Streptophyta; Magnoliopsida; Gentianales; Rubiaceae. The record is from RNAcentral.
ACAAACAGCUUAUGUAGAAAAGUUUAAAUUGAAAACAACGCACGAAGCUGUAACUCAAAUUGUGAUUAUCAGUUAAGUAAUUGGAAUGUUCAGUCAGACCUCAUCAUUGGUCCUAGAUUUAUUAAUUGAGAUUUCUCUUCCCCAAGGUUCUGCUUCAGCUGAUUGUUUUCCUUCCUUCACUUCAUUCUGUUCUCCACUAAGGUCUUUUGCCUCUAAGUACUCCUUAGGUGGUUUAGUUGAUAUCAUAACCUUUCUUUUCAAGGAUUCUGGCGAGGGAAACUCUCUUAGACCGUCUGAUCCAGGUACGAACAGCAUAUCUCCAAAUGUUUCAUUAAUCAUCUAAGAUUUUUUAGACAUUGCAAAUGUUAGCAGUAGAGCAAUGAAAGUACUAGUUACUCUCUGUCCAAAGUGCAAUUUUACACACCUCAGCUACUUUAGCUUGAAGAUGCCGAGGAAGAUGGUCUUCAAGUGUGAUAACAACAGGAUACUCGGAUGCAGAGAAUGCAUGCUCUUUAAUAGACCUCAAGCAUUUGAUGAGUUGCACAGGAGUUGUCAGCGUCCUGUAUAAGAAAGUAGAUAUCUUGGCUAAUUACAACUUCAUUUCCAACUUGGAACCAAUUAAUGUCCGACUCAAAAAGAAUCCAUACACAAAUUGAGUUAAUUUCUUCGAUGAAGAUCAGUACCUUCCAUGCAGGACAUCAACAUCAUCUUUUGUGGAAUUAGGCCAUAUAUCCAAUUCGAUUACUCUCACACCAUUCUGGAGUGCAUUUAUUAUAGGGACAUCGCUGCAGUCACUACUUAGCUGAUUCCCAGUCAAAUAAGAAUUAUGCCCGGUAUAUAUAUAGUAAUGAGACAAUGGAUCAUGCAUAUCAUGAUGAACCUGUUUUGUUUGAAACAAAAAACCCACCUCAUAAUCAUUUAAAAAAAAAAUCAACUCUGAUGCUUAGAAAUUGAUAUAAAUGGAGAAGAAAUGGAAUUACCCCGCGACGAGGAUCAAUAGGAGGAUUAAUAUCUCCAAAAAGAUACUUGAAAAAUUGCUCAAGAUUAAGACCGCUGCGAUGGAAAAUGUUGAGGUGUUUAGGCUCAUGAAGGCUAUUUAUGAUGGCUCCAGCAUCCUCCACCGUGGCAUUCUCUUGCUUUUGAACUUCAACCAAGAAACGAUGGAGGUUAUCAACGCUUAUGGUCCCGUUUUCGGAGUAGCGGUCGAAUAUGGACUUGAUUUCAGCCGGGGCCUCUGCAGAAGCCAGCUUGAACCUUCGCCGGCAACAAAAGCAUACUCUGUAGGUCUGUUUAGACAUGCGAUUGGAUUUUGGAUUUACGUCAACUAAAAGUGAAAGAAGAGAAGAGGAGUAGAGUUGAUUAUGGAUGUUGAGGAUUGAGGAUCUUAGGUGUUUUUUUUUAUCAAGGAUGGGAUUUGAGGAUAGCUUUGCUUGUGAAGAUGGGAAGGCAUUUCCGGAGAUUGGACCGGGCAAAGUUCACUGUCGAACUCGGAACCAAAUCCAACCAACCGAACUUUUUCCUACAGGGAAAAAAAAAAAAAGAAAAGAAAAGAAAAAGAUAACGAUUCUGGUUUGGGAAACCUUUCAAUCGUUGGAUUUUGUUUGUGGAUAAAGGUCGGGUUCUGGUAAGGUUGCAAUAUCCUGCAAUUCUGGAACGUCCCCAACCUUUACGCUUUACUUCUUAUUGGUCCAGCUCUGGUGGUGAGCUGUGAGGUCAUUGUUGAUUGUUUCUCCUUUUUGUCUCCAUGCAUACAGCUGGUUGCCCCGCUGGGCCGGCCACCAUUGGAUCAAAGAAAAUUGUGUCUAAUUCAGUCAAUCAAUCAAUGAGGCCCUCCACCUCAUUAUCGAGUGGAGGAGUGUCACCAAUGAACAACCCCAAUUAAAUCCCAUUACUUGCAAAGAUAAUCACAUUUCAUUUCACGUAUUUUUUUGUCAUCUAAGGAGUAAUAAUUAAAGAGUAAAUUUCAUAUGCACUAUAAGUAUACACACUAUCACGAAUAAAUGGAUGACACGUAAUCAAAUUUUACACAUGUAUUAUAUAUUUAAUAGUGAUAGUGUAUAUAAGAUUAAUUCAUGAUUAAAUCCCAUUACUUACAAAGAAUAUCAUAUUCACGUACCCCUUUUGUCAUCUAAAGAGUAAUAAUUAAACAUUAAAGAGCCUUUUUUUGGGAUAAUUUCAGAAACCGUCCCUAAUAUUUUUGACAAUUUCACUAAGCACCUCUAAGGUUUAGAAAAAGAAACUUAUUCAUCUCUAAGAUGUUUUGCUUGCAGGGAAUUGUCUCUAAUUAGUUGUUGCAAGAUACGAUAUUUGCGCAGUGAAGAAAUCUUCUGACUAUUUUGGCCUUUCAAUUAUGUUUAAAUUGUCUGCUCACUUCUCCUCUUUUUUUUUUAACUUAAAAUGCAACAAAAAAUUAAACUGACAAUAAGAUGAUAGAUAGUUAAAUGAAAAAAAAAAGGGGACAAUUUUCAUUCUUUGACUCUUUGAAUUAGAUAUGAAGCAGGAUAAAUUUGUGCCUCAACAGGAUGAUAUAAAUUUGUGGCGAACUGGUUAUAAAGUUACAACUCACUGAAAUUCGCAGAGAAUCCGGUUCCCUGGCAUUGCCACCCCACCAAUCAGAGAGCAAUGCCCUUUGUGUUUCGCUGAUGUCUACAAGAAAAUGUUUACUUGAACCAUUUUUUUUUCAAAAAAAAAAAAAGAAGUUGUAUCUUGUUACUGCAAUUGCAGCACUCCUCUGUACAAACGAUCUGGUCGCGCAAAUCCAACUCUACUACAACAUUAAGGAUGGAAAAGAAGCGCGUCGCGGGCGGGCUUGAAGGAUGCAGUAGGGUUCAUAUAAACUGGAACCGCAUCAGAAGCCUUACAGAUCUAAGUUUCUCUCCUUUCUUAUCGUAAAUUGGAACUGCUCGGAUCCCCGGUCUCAACUCCGAAACAGGCAAGCAUGUCUGUCCCCCAAAAUCAUCCUUCUCCGACAUGUCAUGCUCACGGAUUUCAAUCCGAAGCAAAGCUAACUCAGGAACUGUCAAUGGGAAUGUGAAAUCCUCAUCCCAUAUCGGUCCCCAGUCAUCCUCUAUUAUCCUCGUCUUUUUCUUGGCCUCAUCUGCAGGCACUCCUACCAUCUGAACCUGCAGUUCAUGAGGAAAUUAUCUUAGGCUCAACCUAUUGAACAAGAUUUAAUAUGUUAAGGAGGAAACAAAACAGAAGAAAUAGAUGAACGCGUCAACAGAAGCAGCAGAUUGCAACAAUAUAUCAGUUCAGCCACUCAUUACAUGGGUAUAAGCUCGCCAGAAGUUCCAUUUUCGAACGUCUUAAAAGUUACCAUCGCAUCAAAACAGGAAAUAUCAUAUCAUAUCUAUCAGGAUAACACUUUUAAACCAAUUUUAGUCGCUGACCUUUGUGUAGAAGUCUGGCGGUGAAUAUGAAUCAAAAUGUGUGUGACUGAAAUCUAAUCGCCAUCCAUCUCCCAAAUACACGCUUACCUGUGGAAAAAAUGAUUAAGCUGUAAUUAAUAUAAGUCAUCGGGCGGUUGGAGUUUGCAAUAGCCACUGUCAGAAAGGUGCUCACCUUUAAAGUUUUCUUAACUGGCAAUUUUACUUUAGGAUCAAAUAGCUCAUUCCGCGGUCCCCUUUUCAUGAGAAAGUCAGGCUUCUUAACGUAACCGCAACCUCCAUUAGAUCCGAACAACCCAUGCAUCAACCAAAGUGAUUUUCCAUACCCCUGUUUGUUUGGGUUAAGAAAGAAAAUGAUUUCACUAAAUCCGUUGGUGAAAAGAAUCCUCAACUAAGAUGAAUACAUGCCGACACAAAUGUGGUAAUCAUAAUCAAAUUAUGAAAGUCGAUUGCUUGCUUGUGUACUGUUUCUGUGAUGCAUGUUACCAUUGAUGCAACAGAAGUCAUUGAUGGUUUAUCCCUCGCACAAACUGCUUGUCCAUGCUGACAUGUGAGCAUGGAGCAGUGUAUAGAUGCUGUAUUAGCAGAUUUGCAUGACAUUCUACUUGGAUCACUAUUUACGACAAAGACAAUAAGGAUUUCUGGAAAUGCCAGAGAAGUUAAUUCAAUAAAACUUUUAAUGUAAUUAAACUGCCGGGAAGUGUUAUGUUUAAGAUAAGGACAGUGAAUGAGUGCAUGACCAAGCUCGGAUUGCCAUUCCAGGAGUUUAGGAACACAAGAUUUGAAAACUGACCUGCAUAUUGAAUGCAAGCAUUUGAGCUCCAUGCGUCCAGCCAACUAAAGGGUGAAAAUUGGACGAGGUUACUCUUGUUCCCUUUGGAAACACCCUCAGAAUAUUCUUCUGUGUAAACCUAGAAUUCAAAACUGAAUUCAGCUAAAACAAAAUGUUGGUAGAAGACCAGAUGGGACAGCUAUUGUGAACGUCAAAAGCAAUCUAGCAAUCUUCAACUUUUACUUCAAGUGAAUACCUCACAACAUCAGUUCCAUAUAAAGAUGCAGCCCUUUCAAGGUCUUGUUCAGUCAAACUAAGACGCUUAACUUUGUCCAGCCCAGUUACUAAUGCGUGCCUCAACCCCUGUUUUGCCUUCCCAGCAUGAAUAGCAAUGAGACGCUUGUACUCCGGUGCUGCUAGUUGGGAUGAUUUUUGGUUUUGGAUGUCUCCAUCUUCAUCAUCUGGAUCACUAUCGUACUGAAAUCAUAAACCAAUAAACAUUGCAGAUGAAAUUUUGAGUAAUAUUCAACGGAUGACAAGAAAGAUUCUAUGAAAUGUACCUUUGGGUCGCCCUCCAACGUAUCCUUCAUAAAAAAAUCAUCUUCAGAAGAAUCCUUUUCCGCAGGUGAAGAAGUUCCUUCUUUCUGAUUCUUUAUUUCAAGGUACUCUUUUGGUGGUUUGGUUGAAAGAAUUAUUCGAUGCUUCAAUGCUUCCGGAGAGGGAAAUUCUUCUAAGCAUCCCGACUCCGGGUAAUACAGCAUUUCUCCAAAAAUUUGAAUUACCAUCUAGAAGCAGAUAGGUUAUAUCAGUUGCAAUGUUGAUGUUUUCUCAGUCUUAAAAAAAAAGGAAGAACAAAUAGCGAGAAACUCCAACCUCUGCAACUUUAGCCUGAAGGUCCGGAGUGAGGUGAUCCUCCAAAGUAAUUAUUACAGGGUAGGGAGAUUUGACAAAAGCAUGCUCCCUAAUAGACUUCAAGCAUUUAAUGAGUGGCACUGGAGUGGUCAGCGUCCUGAAAAUGAUCAACAAGGUUAAAUUUUCUUACAUUGCCAUUUCCGGUAAGAGAAAAUUUAGAAGUGUCCCUAAAAAUAGACGCAGCAAAAUUGAAAUGUGAAUAUAUAUCAGACAAAUAGUUUCUGGCACAGAUUUCUAAAUGUGGACAACUAGAGCAAAGCAAAUGAUAGAGAAACCCAUGCUGGUUAUUUUGGGAACACGAGAAGAUAUUUGCCUAUUUAUGCAAUUACAUUACAGAUUAGAAAAUUUAUUUUAUUUUUCUUGAAAAUUUGUCAGACAGCUUAUACUGAUGUAAAACUCAUCUCACCUUCAGUGUAGUUUUAACUGGUAAUUUGGCUUUAGGGUCAAAAAUCUCAUUACCAGUCUUCAAUAAGAUAUCUGGUUUUCUAACAUAUCCACAGCCACCAUUGGCCCUGAACAUUCCACGCAUCACCCAGAGUGAUCUUCCAUAACCCUGUUGAAGAAAAUUGUCACUGAAAAUUUCCUUGAAAUAGACUUUGGCCUAAUUACUAUAAAUUAAAAUGAAAGGUGCCAAUAAAUUUACAUUGUAAUAUGCCAACAUCGAAGAACAAUAUGACAAUCAAGAUAAAAUGAUAACCUGCAUGUUUAGUGCGACCAUCUGUGCCCCAUGCAUCCAUCCAAUGAGGGGAUUGUAAUUAGAUGAGUCAAAACGUAUUCCCUUUGGGUAUACUCUCAACAAGUUCCUCUGAGUAAAACUGAAAGAGGAAUAUAGAAAAGCCUGGACAGCUUAUUAAUUGGAAAUGAUUACUUAAUUCAAGCGCAAGGUCAAGAAUUGAAGCCUAAAGAGAGGUAUUAUGGAUUAUGUUGUCGAUUGGAGCAUCAAUGCAGCAAGAUUCAAGGAUGAAACAGUACAUUUUACAGGGCCUAGAUGAUCGAACUACAUACCAUGACUAUAAAACCCCAUUAAUGAAGGCAAAAUAAGCUGAAUACAUGUGUAUCUGAGUAUCCAGCAAGAACAAUUGUUCUAACUAUGACGAUCUAUAGUAAUCAGGAUGACAUCUCUCAGGAUUACUUUUAUACCAUUUACAAUGCAGGGAAACCCCUAGAGAAGUCAAGCAAAAGCUACUGCACGAAGUAUGCACUGGUUGUAUGUUGUAGACAAAGUAACAUGAUCAACAUAGUACCUUAUAAUUUCUUUUGCAUGAGUUACAGCAGCCUUCUCAAGUUCUAGCUCACUUAAACUAAGGCGUCUCACUUUGUUAGGAUCGAGCCUCAGCCAAUCAUCCAGUCCACCCUUUCCCUUUCCAGCAUGGAUUGCAAUCAAACGUUUAUAUUCUGGGACUGCAAUUUGCUGAGACUUGCGAUCUACUUCAUCAUCGUCAUCGUCCUCAUGAGCUUCCUCUUCAUUGAGAUCAUCCUGCAACAAACAGCUUAUGUAGAAAAGUUUAAAUUGAAAACAACGCACGAAGCUGUAACUCAAAUUGUGAUUAUCAGUUAAGUAAUUGGAAUGUUCAGUCAGACCUCAUCAUUGGUCCUAGAUUUAUUAAUUGAGAUUUCUCUUCCCCAAGGUUCUGCUUCAGCUGAUUGUUUUCCUUCCUUCACUUCAUUCUGUUCUCCACUAAGGUCUUUUGCCUCUAAGUACUCCUUAGGUGGUUUAGUUGAUAUCAUAACCUUUCUUUUCAAGGAUUCUGGCGAGGGAAACUCUCUUAGACCGUCUGAUCCAGGUACGAACAGCAUAUCUCCAAAUGUUUCAUUAAUCAUCUAAGAUUUUUUAGACAUUGCAAAUGUUAGCAGUAGAGCAAUGAAAGUACUAG